Molecule: long non-coding RNA, 209 nt
Filed under: Elaeis guineensis (African oil palm)
Lineage: Eukaryota; Viridiplantae; Streptophyta; Magnoliopsida; Arecales; Arecaceae
Description: long non-coding RNA (EGUI_LNC056466)
Source: RNAcentral
ACAUAUAGUUUUGUGGAUAAUACAAUAAACUAUAGUGUUCUAGUUAAGUUGACCCUUCAAUCCAUAUGGUCAUAUUUAAAUAAUGAUGUCCUUGUGGAUAGCACAACAAAGCAACAUUAUUUAAAUGUGCCAUAAGCAUUAAUAUGUACUUGAUCAAUAUCAUGUCAAUUUCUUUUAUAAACUUUGUGGAUAGCACAACAAGCUCACUA